This 650-nucleotide ribosomal RNA is filed under the name uncultured bacterium. RNAcentral describes it as "bacterial SSU rRNA". It matches the Rfam family "Bacterial small subunit ribosomal RNA", at positions 83 to 768 of the family's 1533-position model. The record is from RNAcentral.
UGGACUCGGGUAGUGGCGGACGGGUGAGUAACACGUGGGAACGUGCCUUUAGGUUCGGAAUAACUCAGGGAAACUUGUGCUAAUACCGAAUGUGCCCUUCGGGGGAAAGAUUUAUCGCCUUUAGAGCGGCCCGCGUCUGAUUAGCUAGUUGGUGAGGUAAAGGCUCACCAAGGCGACGAUCAGUAGCUGGUCUGAGAGGAUGAUCAGCCACAUUGGGACUGAGACACGGCCCAAACUCCUACAGGAGGCAGCAGUGGGGAAUCUUGCGCAAUGGGCGAAAGCCUGACGCAGCCAUGCCGCGUGAAUGAUGAAGGUCUUAGGAUUGUAAAAUUCUUUCACCGGGGACGAUAAUGACGGUACCCGGAGAAGAAGCCCCGGCUAACUUCGUGCCAGCAGCCGCGGUAAUACGAAGGGGGCUAGCGUUGCUCGGAAUUACUGGGCGUAAAGGGAGCGUAGGCGGACAUUUAAGUCAGGGGUGAAAUCCCGGGGCUCAACCUCGGAAUUGCCUUUGAUACUGGGUGUCUUGAGUAUGAGAGAGGUGUGUGGAACUCCGAGUGUAGAGGUGAAAUUCGUAGAUAUUCGGAAGAACACCAGUGGCGAAGGCGACACACUGGCUCAUUACUGACGCUGAGGCUCGAAAGCGUGGGGAG